RNAcentral lists this transfer-messenger RNA (382 nucleotides) under Patescibacteria group. Its description in RNAcentral is "f 2-12-FULL-50-11 X1 Standard tmRNA". It matches the Rfam family "transfer-messenger RNA". From Rfam's summary of the family: Bacterial tmRNA, also known as 10Sa RNA or SsrA, is named for its dual tRNA and mRNA-like properties. The record is from RNAcentral. RNAcentral also lists the same sequence under 1 other name.
GGGCCUGACAAGGCUUCGACGGGAACGUUGACAAUUAGGCUGGCAAGCGGAGAGCUACCCGCCCAGAGUAGCAACAAAUACGUGCAAACAUAUUUGAAACAGCGAAGGCACGACUGGCGAACUUGUUCGCUCAGCCGGCCGCCGCGCCAGUAUUAGCAUAACUAAUACCGUCUUAACGGCUGAUUCCCGCUAAGCUGCUAAGGCGUCAAAACAGUGGGAUCGCUGUUUGGUUUUGAUCAGCCGGACAGUUAAAUACCGAUCAUGCUGGCAGAUGUGUUUUGUUUGUUUCAAGCACUGCCCUAAGAAUUAAACAAACUAAGCUUGUAGAGAGGCCUAAUCUGUUCGUUUUCGGACGCGGGUUCGACUCCCGCCAGGUCCACCA